Molecule: ribosomal RNA, 347 nt
Filed under: Lymantor decipiens
Lineage: Eukaryota; Metazoa; Arthropoda; Insecta; Coleoptera; Curculionidae
Description: partial 12S small subunit ribosomal RNA
Source: RNAcentral
AAAAAAGUAAAUUUUUAANCCUAAANUAAUAAAAGUUAAGUUCUCUAAAAUUAAAAAAGAUGGCGGUAUUUUAGUCCAUNCAGAGGAACCUGUCCUGUAAUUGAUAGUCCACGUUUUUAUGAACUUAUUUUUUUAGUUUACAUAUCGCUGUGGUUAGAAUAUUUUUACUGAAUUUUAAUAUUCAAGAUUUUAGUAUAAAAUGAUAUCAGGUCAAGAUGUAGUUUAUAGAUAAGAAGAAGAUGGGUUACAAUAAAAUUAUUUGUAGAUAUUUUUUUUAAAAUUAAAUUGAAAAUGGAUUUGAAGGUAAUUUGUUAAUAAUAUUUAAUUAAUGAUUUAGUCUCUAAAAU